GUCGAGAAUUUUUCACAAUGGGCGCAAGCCUGAUGGAGCGACGCCGCGUGGGGGAUGAAUGGCUUCGGCCCGUAAACCCCUGUCAUUCGCGAUCAAAGCUCACGACCCAACACGUCGUGAGUUGAUAGUAGCGGAAGAGGAAGGGACGGCUAACUCUGUGCCAGCAGCCGCGGUAAUACAGAGGUCCCAAGCGUUGUUCGGAUUCACUGGGCGUAAAGGGUGCGUAGGCGGUCGGGUAAGUCUGACGUGAAAUAUCGGAGCUCAACUCCGAAACUGCGUCGGAGACUAUUCGGCUAGAGGAUUGGAGGGGGGGCUGGAAUUCUCGGUGUAGCAGUGAAAUGCGUAGAUAUCGAGAGGAACACCCGUGGCGAAGGCGAGUCCCUGGACAAUUCCUGACGCUGAGGCACGAAAGCUAGGGGAGCAAACAGGAUUAGAAACCCGAGUAGUCC
RNAcentral lists this ribosomal RNA (449 nucleotides) under uncultured bacterium. RNAcentral describes it as "bacterial SSU rRNA". It matches the Rfam family "Bacterial small subunit ribosomal RNA", at positions 354 to 796 of the family's 1533-position model. The record is from RNAcentral.